UACAGAGGGUGCAAGCGUCGUUCGGAAUUAUUGGGCGUAAAGGGAGUGUAGGCGGUUGUCUAAGUCUUCUGUGAAAUCUACGGGCUUAGCCUGUAACGUGCAGAGGAAACUGGGCGACUGGAGUGUCGGAGAGGAUAGGGGAAUACCCGGUGUAGAGGUGAAAUUCGUAGAGAUCGGGUGGAACACCAGUGGCGAAGGCGCCUAUCUGGCUGACAACUGACGCUGAGACUCGAAAGCAUGGGGAGCAAACAGG
RNAcentral lists this ribosomal RNA (253 nucleotides) under uncultured bacterium. Its description in RNAcentral is "partial 16S ribosomal RNA". It matches the Rfam family "Bacterial small subunit ribosomal RNA", at positions 524 to 776 of the family's 1533-position model. The record is from RNAcentral.